GACGAACGCUGGCGGAGGGAGGAAUAAAGGAAAGUAGAACGGAAAGGUACUGCUUUUGUGGGGUGAUUGAGUGGCGAACGGGUGAGUAACAAGUGAGUAAUAUGCAUUUGACUUUGGGAUAACUUCAGGAAACUGGGGCUAAUACCGGAUAGGAUCUCCUGCUGCAUGGUGGGGGUUGGAAAGUUUCGGCGGUUGGGGAUGGACUCGCGGCUUAUCAGCUUGUUGGUGGGGUAGUGGCUUACCAAGGCUUUGACGGGUAGCCGGCCUGAGAGGGUGACCGGCCACAUUGGGACUGAGAUACGGCCCAGACUCCGACGGGAGGCAGCAGUGGGGAAUAUUGCACAAUGGGCGGAAGCCUGAUGCAGCAAAGACGCGUGCGGGAUGACGGCCUUCGGGUUGUAAACCGAUUUCGCCUGUGACGAAGCGUGAGUGACGGUAAUGGGUAAAGAAGCACCGGCUAACUACGUA
This 468-nucleotide ribosomal RNA is filed under the name uncultured bacterium. RNAcentral describes it as "partial 16S ribosomal RNA". It matches the Rfam family "Bacterial small subunit ribosomal RNA", at positions 28 to 507 of the family's 1533-position model. The record is from RNAcentral.